This 264-nucleotide ribosomal RNA is filed under the name uncultured bacterium. Its description in RNAcentral is "partial 16S ribosomal RNA". It matches the Rfam family "Bacterial small subunit ribosomal RNA", at positions 793 to 1055 of the family's 1533-position model. The record is from RNAcentral.
GUCCACGCCCUAAACGAUGGCAACUGGGUGUUGGGGGAGCGAUUCCUCAGUACCGUAGCUAACGCGUGAAGUUGCCCGCCUGGGGAGUACGGCCGCAAGGUUAAAACUCAAAGGAAUUGACGGGGACCCGCACAAGCGGUGGAUGAUGUGGAUUAAUUCGAUGCAACGCGAACAACCUUACCUACCCUUGACAUGUCCGGAACCCCAUUGAGAGGUGGGGGUGCCCGAAAGGGAAUCGGAACACAGGUGCUGCAUGGCUGUCGU